This 389-nucleotide ribosomal RNA is filed under the name Syndiniales sp. Its description in RNAcentral is "partial small subunit ribosomal RNA". It matches the Rfam family "Eukaryotic small subunit ribosomal RNA", at positions 582 to 975 of the family's 1831-position model. Lineage: Eukaryota; Dinophyceae; Syndiniales. The record is from RNAcentral.
AUUCCAGCUCCAAUAGCGUAUAUUAAAGUUGUUGCGGUUAAAAAGCUCGUAGUUGGAGUUCUGCCAGGUGCCACCUGUCCGCCCCAGUGGUGAGUACGUGGUGCGCAUUUGGCCCUUUCAAGGGGAGCGUAUUUGCACUUAAUUGUGUGGUGCGGGAUCCUUGACUUUUACUUUGAGGAAAUAAGAGUGUUCCAAGCAGGCUCUCGUCGUGCAUAGCUCAGCAUGGAAUAAUAGCAUUGGACCUCGAUUCUAAGCUGUUGGUUGCCAGAAGCGAGGUAAUGAUUAAGAGGGACAGUUGGGGGUAUUCGUAUUUAAUUGUCAGAGGUGAAAUUCUUGGAUUUAUGAAAGACGAACUACUGCGAAAGCAUUUACCAAGGAUGUUUUCAUCG